RNAcentral lists this unclassified non-coding RNA (425 nucleotides) under soil metagenome. Its description in RNAcentral is "partial contains 5.8S ribosomal RNA, internal transcribed spacer 2, and large subunit ribosomal RNA". The stretch from base 1 to 120 matches the Rfam family "5.8S ribosomal RNA", at positions 35 to 154 of the family's 154-position model. The record is from RNAcentral.
GAUGAAGAACGCAGCGAAAUGCGAUAAGUAGUGUGAAUUGCAGAAUUCCGUGAAUCAUCGAAUCUUUGAACGCACAUUGCGCCUUCUGGUAUUCCGGAAGGCAUGCCUGUUCGAGAGUCAUUAACAACCGUUUCGAUCCCUUUCUUUCAGAAAUUACAAAGAGGAAAAGGGUUUGGUUAUGGUGGAGGAGGGAAAGGGAGCGUUUAGCCUGUAAAAAAAGAGGCUGUGUUCCGCCUCCCCCCCAAAAUUGUACAGGCGGUCGUGUGCGCCCACGCAUCGAGGUGUUGUAAAAGCUGCCACGGCACUUUUCACCUGUGCAGUGCGAGAUUGGCCAGCCGAUUUAAAAACCCCUCCAAACAAUCAAAGGUUGACCUCGGAUCAGGUAGGGAUACCCGCUGAACUUAAGCAUAUCAAUAAGCGGAGGA